This 459-nucleotide ribosomal RNA is filed under the name uncultured bacterium. RNAcentral's name for it is "partial 16S ribosomal RNA". It matches the Rfam family "Bacterial small subunit ribosomal RNA", at positions 338 to 795 of the family's 1533-position model. The record is from RNAcentral.
CCUACGGGUGGCAGCAGUGAGGAAUAUUGGUCAAUGGUCGGGAGACUGAACCAGCCAAGCCGCGUGAGGGAUGAAGGUACAGAGUAUCGUAAACCUCUUUUGUCAGGGAACAAAGGCGGGGACGUGUCCCCGGCUGAGUGUACCUGAAGAAAAAGCAUCGGCUACCUCCGUGCCAGCAGCCGCGGUAAUAGGGAGGAUGCGACAGUUAUCCGGAUUUAUUGGGUUUAAAGGGUGGGCCGGCGGUCUGUUAAUGCAGCGGUCAAAGCCCGGGGCUCAACCCCGGCCCGCCGUUGAAACUGGCAGUCGAGAGUGGGAGAGAGGUAGGCGGAAGGCGCGGUGUAGCGGUGAAAUGCAUAGAUAUCGCGCAGAACUCCGAUUGCGAAGGCAGCAUGCCGGCUCCAAACUGACGCUGAGGCACGAAAGCGUGGGUAUCGAACAGGAUUAGAUACCCUUGUAGUC